UACGGAGGGGGCAAGCGUUACUCGGAAUUAUUGGGCGUAAAGGGCGCGUAGGCGGUCGGGCGCGUCGGAGGUGAAAUCCCCGGGCUUAACCCGGGAGCUGCCUCCGAUACGGCAUGGCUUGAGUCCGGGAGAGGGGAGCAGAAUUCCCAGUGUAGCGGUGAAAUGCGUAGAUAUUGGGAGGAAUACCGGUGGCGAAGGCGGCUCCCUGGACCGGUACUGACGCUGAGGCGCGAAAGCGUGGGUAGCAAACAGG
This 253-nucleotide ribosomal RNA is filed under the name uncultured bacterium. RNAcentral describes it as "partial 16S ribosomal RNA". It matches the Rfam family "Bacterial small subunit ribosomal RNA", at positions 524 to 776 of the family's 1533-position model. The record is from RNAcentral.